ACGGGGCGUCUGCCCACUCUUUCCCCUGUUGCACUACUGUCCAACGUCACAGCUAGCAGUGCAAUAAUGAAAGGGCGUCAGCCGCUCC
This 88-nucleotide microRNA precursor is filed under the name Anolis carolinensis (green anole). Its description in RNAcentral is "microRNA aca-mir-130b precursor". Its record names the gene aca-mir-130b. Lineage: Eukaryota; Metazoa; Chordata; Lepidosauria; Squamata; Anolidae. The record is from miRBase by way of RNAcentral.